This 578-nucleotide ribosomal RNA is filed under the name Microbacterium sp. SDB-015. RNAcentral describes it as "bacterial SSU rRNA". It matches the Rfam family "Bacterial small subunit ribosomal RNA", at positions 102 to 694 of the family's 1533-position model. The record is from RNAcentral. Lineage: Bacteria; Bacillati; Actinomycetota; Actinomycetes; Micrococcales; Microbacteriaceae. RNAcentral also lists the same sequence under 4 other names.
ACGGGUGAGUAACACGUGAGCAACCUGCCCUGGACUCUGGGAUAAGCGCUGGAAACGGCGUCUAAUACUGGAUAUGAGACGUGAUCGCAUGGUCGUGUUUGGAAAGAUUUUUCGGUCUGGGAUGGGCUCGCGGCCUAUCAGCUUGUUGGUGAGGUAAUGGCUCACCAAGGCGUCGACGGGUAGCCGGCCUGAGAGGGUGACCGGCCACACUGGGACUGAGACACGGCCCAGACUCCUACGGGAGGCAGCAGUGGGGAAUAUUGCACAAUGGGCGAAAGCCUGAUGCAGCAACGCCGCGUGAGGGAUGACGGCCUUCGGGUUGUAAACCUCUUUUAGCAGGGAAGAAGCGAAAGUGACGGUACCUGCAGAAAAAGCGCCGGCUAACUACGUGCCAGCAGCCGCGGUAAUACGUAGGGCGCAAGCGUUAUCCGGAAUUAUUGGGCGUAAAGAGCUCGUAGGCGGUUUGUCGCGUCUGCUGUGAAAUCCCGAGGCUCAACCUCGGGCCUGCAGUGGGUACGGGCAGACUAGAGUGCGGUAGGGGAGAUUGGAAUUCCUGGUGUAGCGGUGGAAUGCGCAGA